GGUAGCAUUGGUGCUUGCACCAGAUGACGACCGGCGCACGGGUGCGUAACGCGUAUAGAACUUACCUUUUACAGGGAGAUAGCCUUUAGAAAUGAAGAUUAAUAUCCCAUAGUAUUGAGACUUGGCAUCAAGACUUAAUUAAAGAUUUAUCGGUAAAAGAUGGCUAUGCGUCCUAUUAGCUAGAUGGUAAGGUAACGGCUUACCAUGGCAACGAUAGGUAGGGGCCCUGAGAGGGGGAUCCCCCACACUGGUACUGAGACACGGACCAGACUCCUACGGGAGGCAGCAGUGAGGAAUAUUGGGCAAUGGAGGCAACUCUGACCCAGCCAUGCCGCGUGCAGGAAGACUGCCCUAUGGGUUGUAAACUGCUUUUAUACAGGAAGAAACACACCUACGUGUAGGUGCUUGACGGUACUGUAAGAAUAAGGACCGGCUAACUCCGUGCCAGCAGCCGCGGUAAUACGGAGGGUCCAAGCGUUAUCCGGAAUCAUUGGGUUUAAAGGGUCCGCAGGCGGUCAAUUAAGUCAGAGGUGAAAUCCCAUAGCUUAACUAUGGAACUGCCUUUGAUACUGGUUGACUUGAGUCAUAUGGAAGUAGAUAGAAUGUGUAGUGUAGCGGUGAAAUGCAUAGAUAUUACACAGAAUACCGAUUGCGAAGGCAGUCUA
Molecule: ribosomal RNA, 665 nt
Filed under: Polaribacter sp.
Lineage: Bacteria; Pseudomonadati; Bacteroidota; Flavobacteriia; Flavobacteriales; Flavobacteriaceae
Description: bacterial SSU rRNA
Rfam family: Bacterial small subunit ribosomal RNA
Source: RNAcentral